RNAcentral lists this small RNA (292 nucleotides) under Vigna angularis var. angularis. Its description in RNAcentral is "Non-protein coding transcript". Lineage: Eukaryota; Viridiplantae; Streptophyta; Magnoliopsida; Fabales; Fabaceae. The record is from RNAcentral.
AUUGUUUAGCAGGUCAUAACAGAGCAUAGCAGAUGAAACUUAAACAUAAUAGAACAGAGCAAUAAAAAGAACAUGACCAGAAGUUCUAAGGUGAAUCCUAAAGUAUAGCAGGACAAUAACAGCAAGACAGCUAAAGUUCUAAAGUGAAUCCUAUGACAUAGUAGGGAAAGAGCAUCUAGUAUUCAUCAGUAGUUUCCUGUUCCUCUUGCUCAUCUUCCUCUUCUUCUUGACCAGCAUCAGGAUCCAGAUCUUCACUGCCACCACCAAUAUUGUGUUCUUUGAGUUGUUGUUG